UUUUCCCUACUCCCUGGUUACUUUAUACUUUGUCUUCAGUUUCUACUCUUUCUGGUUUUUCUCACGUGGUAUUUUUGUUCUUCUUUUUCAGAAACUUGUGCUCUGUUCCCAUGCUCCAUGUCUAUAUUAAUGUCUCUCUUACUGAGCAUUGCUGAGCAGUCAAGAUGAAGCUAGGAUCUAGAGCUAACAUUGUCCAAAUGGAUAUCAGAUGCCAACUGUACUUCUUUGAGUCACAGAGAACCAUCUGGUUAUCUGAGUUUGAUGUCAUGAUGUGCUGUGAUAUUAUUAGACUGCUUAGCUUGAUGCAUGAGAAGGAUACAGAUUUAAGUCAGGCCAGUUGAUCUCGGGCUGCCCAGCCCCCUGACCUUGAAGACAAGGAGCAGAAUGAAGCCCAGUGACCCAGGGGAAAUGAAGCAAAGUUGACAUGUGUUACCAGUGAGCAAGCCCAGGAAGAAAUCAGAUGUGAGCACUUCCUACUCAGAAGAAUGAUGAAGCUAAAGCAGAAAACAUGAAUUGAGGGCUUUAUGAUAAGACUGAGAUCCCAAAGACUAAAGCCUGUGCUUAAGCUUGCGACAGAAGAGAAAGGUGAAGUAGUUCAAGACUCAAGAGUGUAAGCUGGUUUAAACAAAGUCAACAGUCACUAAUUUUAACUGGAACAAAAAAGGGCAAAUACCAGUUGCACUGUAGCUGUCUAUGAAACACCGAUUAUUUUAGUACAUUCAGACAAAAAAUCUGCAGCACAGGCAUUUGAUAGUUAUAAAUCAUGUAAAAAAUAUUUGUAUUUGUGCUGAAAUCUGAAUUUGCUGUUACUUUACGCUUACCACAAUAUUUGUAAACAAAAGAAUUUCUUAAAAAUUCAAACACCUGCUAAUUCAUAAUUGUGUAAAUAGUUUCUCUAUCUACUGGUAUUCAGUAAUAAAAAAACCACAUUUUCUAAUGCAGUCCUACUCUGACAAUAACAUUCACCUCACUUAAAACUCCUAUAUUACAUAUAUAUUUUUUUUUCCCUUCAAUACAUUGUUUAGAUUAUGGUUUAAGUUACACCAUCAUAAAACACAAAUUAGCUUCUGUUUGGGGGCAUAACUAGAGGAGGCAGGAAUAAAAAAGGAUCAUUUCUUUGUAUCUACUUAAUUUAAAAACCCAUAUUUGAAAAAAACCAACAACAUUAUUAAAAAGUAAUAUUGGGCUAUUAAUUUGAAAAACAAAUGCUGUAGGCAGUUAAAAUAUUGUAAGUAAUACCACAUUAUUUUAAUAAACUACUUGGGAAACACUUACAUAAUAUUAGGUUAAUACACAAACCUUAAGUGCUGCUGAGUUUGAAUACAGUAAUUUUGCAACUGUGCUUUAACACGGAGCCCAAGUCCCAAGGCUGUGACAGAUUGAGCACUACAGAAACUUUACUCUGUCCCUCAUCAGCUGCUAGAAGAUCACUCUAAUGGCUCCCUCAGGCUGGGUUCAAGGAGCAACUGCAACACUAUAGGAACGGCUGCAAAAUUUGAUUCCUUCUUUUGUAGCCUACUUCCCUCGGGCCAAACUGCAGAGCUUUCACAUAAAGGGGUGACAGGAAUAAAAAGGAGAUUUUUGUCUGUCUUAUACACAACAAAUAAAAUGGAUUUCAAGUCUCACAAAAGAGAAAAGCACCUUCUUGUCCCGUUACGGGUUGCAAGGCUGUGGCCCCACUGAGUAAGCCCCCGAAGGAAGAAGCUUUUGGCUGUAAGUGUAGUACCACUGCUAAUCUAUGAACAUUCAAACCACACCAACAGAACAGGAAUGAGAAUGGACUAAAAAUCUUGAUUCUUAAUAGAAUU
Cyanistes caeruleus (blue tit) is the source of this 1808-nucleotide long non-coding RNA. RefSeq lists it as uncharacterized. NCBI's taxonomy places the organism in Eukaryota, Metazoa, Chordata, Aves, Passeriformes, Paridae. The record is from RefSeq and is a predicted model, not a curated record.